GCCCACCGCGCGGCUCGGCUGGGUCCUCUGCCCCGGCGCGUCGGCGGCGUGCGGAGUCCUGGGGAGCUCGAGUCCAUCCCCCCAGAGGCGCGCCUCACCCCUCCUGCGCCUCCCGCUGGCCCCGGCCUGCGCCCCCCCGCCGAGAUUGAUGGUAAGGUCCCGCCUCCCGUUGGUGGUCUCCGGCUUCGUUAGGUGCGGGCUGGGCUCCUAAACACUGCACCCCACCCAGCUGCCUCUGCCUUUCCACCUGUUUAUCGAGAAACCUCACAGAGCAUCUCUACGCUGCUGAGUCCUGGGAACCCUGCCCAGUGAGCCCAGGCGCUGCCCUUGGGAUGCUCAGUGUCUGCCUCUCCCCUGGGCCAGGCGCUUCCCAGGUUCGGGAACCUCAUCACUCUGCCCCAGUGCGGUCCCGGCUCGGCAUAGCAGCUCCGUCAACAGUGGACUGACCAAUGGAUGAGUACAGUAGAGUCACAGACGAAGAGCUGUGGGAGCACUGAGAAGAGAAUGGUAAAUUGGGAAGGUUGAGAGGAGCUGAUGUUGCGGCUGGACCUGAGAUGAUGAGUUCAAUUCUGCCAGCUAGAGAGGAAAGAGAGGGGCGUCCAGGCAGAAGCUACAGCCUGGGUGAAGGCCUGGAGGCAGGGACAACGCUGAUUCGAGGAUCCCGGAACCUAGCAUGAGACCUGGUACAGGGAAGAUGUCAGAAAAAGCUUAUUGACUUCCUCAAGGGUAAGGACUGUAUCUUUUUCUUCUCGUUGCCCACUCCCUGCCUCUGCAGUCAUGUGCACUCUAGGGACCUGGGAAAUACAGUGUGGGAUCCAGUAUUACAUUUUGUGUUACCCGGAAUAACUGUUGUCAUCGUUUAUCCAUUUAUUCACUUGUUCACUCAUUCAAUACAUUUAUCAGGUAAGUGCUCUUUGCCAAGACCUGUGUAGGUACUGCAGAUAUACUGGUGAGGAGAAAGGCUGGGUAGACCCAGUCUCUGCCCUCCUGGAGCUUUUGAAGUUCAAGGUCAAGCUGAGAAGAGGGAGUACACUCCUCACUAGAAUGUUCAGCAAAGGGGUCCUUUAGGGAAAGACCAGAAACUGAUAUGAAUGUAGCCCUGACCGUGUGUAUUACACUGCACAUGCAUCCUGUUAUUUAGGCUUUACAGCCCUGGAGGUAAGUGUUCACAACAACCUUAAAAUGAGAUGAAGAAACUGAGUCUUACAAAGGUGAUAGCUAGUUAGAAGAAGAGCUGGGACUGGAAUCCUGGUUGUUCUGAUGCCAAAGCCCUUGCUUGUUCUAAUUCACCUGGGCCUGGAUGGGAGGGAGAAUGGCAGAGUGAGGGGCAGAGGGAGAGAGGGAAGGAGAGAGAGGGAACCUGAAUCUAGGUUUUUAACCACCUCCUCAGUCCUGUAUUGGGAUGGUGCUGUGGAGGUGGCUUGGGCAGGAGGCAUAGCCUAAAUCUGGGGCUUUUCCAUCACUGCCAUUGGGCAAUCUCCAGAAUUAAGGUUGUCAUUUCUUGUGCACCUAGUGUUGAGAAAGAGGCUCAGACCUGAGAUAAACUCAGGGGAAUUUGAACCCAGGCAACUAGCCCAGUGUGGCCUCUGCCAGGCUACUCCCCUUGGGCCUUGAGGCAUGUUUUCUACAGCAGUUUGGACACUCUUUAUGGCCCACACUUCCCCUCUUGUCUGCCCAAACCUCAGUCUUAUACAAGGUGCAGAUGGGGAAGAAAUGGCUUGGCCACUCUGAGAGCCCUCCAUUAGGACAUUUCAACUAAGAUAUCAAAUAUCUUGGCACAAACUUGCUCAUAAUAUUUACUCAUUAUCCUUUUGAUAGCUGUAGGAUCUGUAGUGAUGUUCCUUCUUUAUUCCUAAUACUGGUAAUUUUUGUCUUUAUUCUUUUUCUCUUGACCAGUCUGACAGGAGGUUUAUCAGUUUUUUUUUUUUCC
This is a non-coding RNA of Equus caballus (horse), 1930 nucleotides long. The record is from RefSeq and is a predicted model, not a curated record. Lineage: Eukaryota; Metazoa; Chordata; Mammalia; Perissodactyla; Equidae.